CGCAGCAGUCGCGAAAACUUCGCAAUGGGGGCAACCCCGACGAGGGAAUUCCAAGUGCCAGCACUUUGUGUUGGCUGUUCUCCUGUCUAAAAAACGGGAGGAGUAAGGGGCGGGUAAGACGG
RNAcentral lists this ribosomal RNA (122 nucleotides) under uncultured archaeon. RNAcentral's name for it is "partial 16S ribosomal RNA". It matches the Rfam family "Archaeal small subunit ribosomal RNA", at positions 331 to 454 of the family's 1478-position model. The record is from RNAcentral.